This is an RNA transcript of Periophthalmus magnuspinnatus, 6150 nucleotides long. It is a transcript of the gene named Rho-associated, coiled-coil containing protein kinase 1, with no coding region annotated. The record is from RefSeq and is a predicted model, not a curated record. Lineage: Eukaryota; Metazoa; Chordata; Actinopteri; Gobiiformes; Gobiidae. The transcript has 34 exons.
CCUGACAUUUUCGAGUGGGGUUUGAACAGGAAGGCGGACAUGUUGGCCAGGCUGCGGGAAGAGAAAAUCAGGCAUCGUCUGCUCGGCUCUUUUUCGGACACCAACCCUCCCCGGGAUCUUAUUUAUCACUUUUUGGCCUAAGAGGAAGAGCAUCUUGAAGGGGAACACGUUCACGAAGCGAUGACAAUGCUCUGGACGCAGCGCACGGGGCGCACUUUGACGCUCUGACGACGCCGCGUUCAGACUCAGACAAAUUUGUCAUAAGCAGAAGUUUUUUCCAGCCACUUCUACUUUUGAGCUGUCACAGUCGCUCGCGUUACUUCACAAACUUGGGACAUACCUGGAAACGGGCCUGGAUUGUAUAUAUUUUGUGCGAUCGUGCUUCCCGAGUGGACUUUCCCUGUAGAUUUUGAAUAGUCUUUUGUUUGGAUGCUGCUACAUUUUAAGCCCUUAUCCUCUGGCAUCCUGCGGACUAAUCUGUCGCCGCAUUUAUCUUUUGCCUGUGAAGUUCUCAAUCACACUUGGAAAAAUACCUUUUGACACCGAUCAUGUGGCUUUUGUACAUCCAGCGCAAUCUUAAACGUUUUAUUGUUGGCGAAAGCUCGAGAUGAACGAUGUAUUUUUUUUGAAGCGCAAAGUUGGGAGGCAGACAGAACAUUUGGUUAGCUUCCGCAGGCUGCUAAGUUAAGCUAGCCUCGCCACAGCUGUUUUUGCAUAGAAUCAAGCAUCGGGACUGAAUUUAGCUGUAAAAAUGUCUAAUGCGGAACCCAUGGAGGCUCGGUUUGAGAAAAUCGAUGCCAUGUUGAAGGACCCGAAGUCGGAAAUCAACACGGACUGUCUCCUGGACGGCUUGGAUGCUCUGGUGUACGACCUGGACUUUCCUGCCCUGAGGAAAAACAAGAGCAUUGACAAUUUCUUGAAUAGAUAUAAAGAAACAAUUAGUAAAAUACGGGACCUGCGCAUGAAAGCAGAGGACUAUGAAGUUGUCAAAGUCAUUGGAAGAGGAGCUUUUGGGGAGGUCCAGUUGGUCAGACACAGGGCUACAUGCAAAGUCUACGCCAUGAAGCUGCUUAGUAAGUUUGAGAUGAUCAAGAGGUCGGACUCGGCGUUCUUCUGGGAGGAGAGGGACAUCAUGGCGUUUGCUAAUAGCUCCUGGGUAGUGCAGCUCUUUUUUGCUUUCCAAGACGACCGCUACCUCUACAUGGUGAUGGAGUACAUGCCCGGCGGAGAUUUGGUGAAUUUAAUGAGCAACUACGACGUCCCAGAGAAGUGGGCGCGGUUUUACACAGCGGAGGUGGUGCUAGCCCUGGACGGGAUCCACUCUAUGGGGUUCAUUCACAGAGAUGUCAAGCCAGAUAACAUGUUGCUAGACAAAACAGGCCAUUUAAAACUUGCAGACUUCGGGACCUGUAUGAAAAUGAACAAGGACGGUAUGGUACGAUGCGAUACGGCGGUGGGCACUCCAGAUUACAUUUCGCCCGAGGUACUGAAAUCCCAGGGAGGAGACGGUUACUACGGCAGAGAGUGCGACUGGUGGUCCGUGGGGGUCUUUCUAUAUGAAAUGCUUGUUGGCGACACUCCGUUCUAUGCAGACUCCCUGGUGGGCACCUACAGCAAAAUCAUGAACCACAAGAACGCCCUGACGUUUCCAGACGACAGCGACAUCUCCAACGAUGCCAAGAAUCUCAUCUGUGCUUUUCUGACUGACAGGGAGGUUCGGUUGGGCCGCAAUGGUGUGGAUGAAAUUAAGAGGCACCCGUUCUUUAAGAAUGACCAGUGGACGUGGGAGAACAUAAGGGAGACGGCUGCUCCAGUGGUGCCAGAGCUGAGCAGUGACAUCGACACCAGUAACUUUGACGACAUCGAGGAGGACCGAGGAGAGGAGGAGACCUUCCCCAUCCCCAAGGCCUUCGUGGGCAACCAGCUCCCAUUCGUAGGCUUCACUUACUACAGCAGCCAGCACCUAUUACGCAGCCCCUCCAGCACUAAAACCACUGAAAAACGCAGCAGCACCACGAAGGAAGACAAGAGCCAUCUUGAAAACCUCCAAAAAAGGAUCUACCAGCUGGAGGAGCAGCUGCACAGUGAGAUGCAGCUGAAGGAUGAGUUGGAGCAGAAAUGCAGGACCUCAAAUACCAAGAUUGAGAAGAUCAUGAAAGAACUGGAUGAAGAGAUGAACCAGAGGAAAAGUGCGGAGGGCAGCACGUCCCUCCUGGAGAAGGAAAAGAUGAUGGCGCAGCACCGGCUCACAGAGGCUCAGAGGAAGGCCGAGCAGGAGGCGGAGAAGAGACGCAACCUGGAGAACGAAGUGUCAACAUUAAAGGAGCAGCUUGAAGACAUGAGGAAAAUCAGUCAGAACUCCCAGGCUUCAAACGAUAAGAUCCUUCAGCUACAAAACCAGCUGCAGGAGGCCAACGACCUUUUGAGAGCCGAGUCGGACACCGCGGCGCGCCUGAGGAAGAACCAGUCGGAGAUGGCCAAGACCAUGAGCCAACUGGAGAGCCUGAACCGCGAACUCCAGGAACGAGUGAGGGCGGCCGACGGGGACAAGGCCCAGCUGGAGAAGGAGGUCCUGGUCCUACAGAGCACACUGGAGUCGGAGAGGAGGAACUACAGCCAGGGCUCCGAGGAGAUCCACGAACUGCAAGCGCGGAUGGCCGGACUAAUAGAGGACAACAAAAACUUGAAGCUCAGUUUGUCUAAAGUGGAAUCUGAACGCAAACACGCACAGGAGAGGAGCAACCAUUUAGAAAAGGAGAUGAACAACCUGGAGAUCGACCUGAACUACAAGCUGAAGACCCUGCAGCAGCGGCUGGAGCAGGAGCAGACGGAGCACAGGGUGACACGGGCCCAGCUCACCGACAAGUACGAGUCCAUCGAAGAGGCCAAGUCCGCAGCAAUGAACGCUGUGCAGCAGAAGAUGUCAGAGGAGAACGGGGCGCGGAUGCGGGCGGAGAGCCGGGUGGUGGAGGUGGAGAAGCAGUGCUCCAUGCUGGAGUUUGACCUGAAGCAGUCGGUCCAGAAGAUGGAGCAGCUCAUGAAGCAGAAGGAACGCCUGGAAGAUGAGGUGAAGAGUGUGAGGAUUCAGCUGGAGCAGGAGCUGAGCAAAAGGAGCCAGGUGCAGGGCGACUUAAAAAGCCGCACUCAUGAGGUGGACCGUCUGCGCUGCUCUGAGAAGCAGAUGAAGCAGGACAUCAACACAGCCCUGGAGUCCAAGAGGUCACUGGAGUUUCAGCUCGCACAGCUCACAAAGCAAUACAGAGGCAACGAAGGACAGAUGAGGGAACUUCAGGAUCAACUGGAGGCAGAACAGUAUUUUUCUACGCUUUAUAAAACUCAGGUUAAGGAGCUGAAAGAAGAGAUAGAAGAAAAGAAUCGGCAAGUUCAGGACGCUCAGAAGAAGGUGCAGGACUUGUGCAGUGAAAGGGACUCUCUGUCGGCUCAGUUGGACUUGACAGUGACCAAAGCGGAGUCGGAACAGUUGGCCCGGGCGCUGCAGGAGGAGCAGUACUUUGAGCUGAGCCAAGAGAACAAGAAGGCUCUGGCCCGACACAAGCAGGAGAUGAGCGAGAAGGACGUCACAAUCUCCAGGCUCGAGGAAUCGAAUAAAACUCUGACCAAAGAUGUGGAGAAUCUGAGUAAAGAGAAGGCGGAGCUAAGUGACAAGCUGCAGACUCAAGAGGAAGUGUACGAAGGACAGAAGGAAGAAAUUGCAAACUCACUCAAAGCUAAUUAUGAGAAAGUUCUCAACACUGAGCGCACACUUAAGACACAGGCGGUGAACAAACUGGCCGAGAUCAUGAACCGGAAAGACAUGAAACUGGACCAGAAGAAGAAGGGCAGCACGGCCGACUUGAGAAAGAAGGAGAAGGAAAACCGCAAACUGCAGCUGGAGCUCAACCAGGAGAAGGAGAAGUUCAACCACAUGGCCAUCAAGUACCAGAAGGAGCUGAGCGAGAUGCAGGCCCAACUGGCAGAGGAGUGCACGUACCGUAAUGAGCUGCAGAUGCAGUUGGACAGUAAAGAGAGCGACAUCGAGCAGCUGAGGGAGAAACUCAACGACCUGCAGCAGAGGAUUGACAACUCCAGUGUGACCAGUCUCCAGCCCGACGAGACCGACAGCAACAUCGCCGAAUCCAGACUUGAGGGUUGGCUGUCCAUUCCUAACCGCGCUAAUAUCAAGCGCUACGGCUGGAAGAAGCAGUAUGUGGUAGUAAGCAGCAAGAAAAUCCUGUUCUACAAUGACGAGCAGGAUAAGGAGCAGUCCAAUCCCUCCAUGGUACUAGAUAUAGAUAAAUUGUUCCAUGUCAGACCCGUGACACAAGGAGACGUGUACCGAGCGGAAACGGACGAGAUUCCCAGAAUAUUCCAGAUCCUGUAUGCCAACGAGGGCGAGUGCCGGAAGGACGCCGAGGUGGAGACGGUCCCUCAGGGCGACAAAACCAACUGCCUCCCACACAAAGGCCACGAGUUCAUCCCCACGCUCUACCACUUCCCCUCCAACUGUGAGGCGUGUGCCAAACCGCUGUGGCACGUCUUUAAGCCCCCGCCCGCCCUCGAGUGUCGCCGCUGCCACGUGAAGUGCCACAAGGACCACCUCGACAAGAAGGAGGAGGUCAUCACUCCAUGCAAAGUAAACUACGACGUGACCUCUGCGCGGGACAUGCUCCUACUGGCCCUCACCCAGGACGAGCAGAAGAAGUGGAUCGGCCAUCUUGGAAAGAAGAUUCCCAAAACGCCGCCCACGUUCUCCCGAUCCUCUCCCCGCAACGUGUCUGCCCGCUCCGGACAUGUUAAUCAGUCUUUCCGGAAAAAACCCUAAAAGCAAUUCAACAAAACUGAGCAAAGCGCAGUCCAACCUCAACGCAGCAAACACCACGUCCAGCACUUGUUGACAGCAGCCACUCCACAAAGCCUUGAUCUAACCGUCUGAACCAUCGUAUUCUGUUUUGGACUAUACUAUUACCCCCCUCCUCCUCAAAAUUCAUUGAGUACAUAUCCUAGCCAGCGAUGGAGGUCAAAGCGAUAUUCGAAAGCCCUGUUGAACCAGCGUUAUGUACCAGAAGAUGACACACUUCUUUAAAAAAAAAAUGUGGACAAAAAACAGAGGCAGUUUUUCAAUACCUGACAUUUCUUUUACAAAAUGAUAUCCGUUUUGCUUCCAUCACAAAAUGCAAAAAUAUCGGGUUCAAGAAAAGACUUUUUUUUGCCUUCAUGUUUCACUGUUUGUUUUUUGGCCGCGUUGCCUUUUUCCUCAUCACUUAUCAGGUUUGGGACUAUAGUAUUUUGGAGAGAGGAGCAUGCAAGAUCAUCAUUAAAUAAAUCUAUGCAUUCUUUUUAGUAUAAUUAUUUUUAUUGCUCCAAGCCAUAAAAGGAAGCUUCCGUUGUCAUGGCAAACAGGAGUCCGAAAACUCAAUGAUUUUUUUUUUUUUCUGUUUAUUUGGUACAUUGUAAUAUUUUCUUGUAUUUUUUGUAAUGUAUUGCCUUACAUUGAUUCAUAGAUAAAUGGUUCAAAAAGGAAAACAUUAAGUUAACAAAUGUAAAACUGCACUGUUUGAAUUGUAAAUUAUUUGUAGAAGACUAAACAGGUGUAGCAUUUGGCCCACCUAGUGCCUUAACGUUCGGAUAUUGAUUUUACUGCCAUAUCUUUUCUCGUCUCUUUUCUUUCUCCAAAACAAGACAAAUCUUAACUCUUCCAUCAAUUUAUUUUUUAAGAAAUCGCCACUAGUUUUGUGGUUUUACCUUUUCUCUGGUUUUGAGUAUAUAAAUAUAUAUAUUAGAUUACCUCUUUAUUGACACAUUGCAAUAGCGUUGGUGUGUCCAAGAAAAGUUCACGGCUGUCAUUCAUAUCACAUCACAUGACAAGCGAGCCUACGUGUUGUCCAAGCGAGCCUACAUGCGUCAAAUAACUUUGUUCACUUUUAAAGGCUGUUUUUCAAUAUUGUGACGUCCUGAAAAUGCUAAGCCCCCCACAGUGUAUAUACAGACAUAAGGAUUAUGGAAUACCUCCUCAAUCUUUUAUUUGAAAAGUUUGUUCAGUUAAAAAAAGCACUGGAACUAUGAUCUACUCUUGUCUUGGAUAAUUUGCAUGGUUAAUUGCAUUGGAGUCCGCACUGAUGGAUAUGUCAAUAAACAUAUCUUUAUCAUUCA